Molecule: transfer RNA, 97 nt
Filed under: Achromobacter xylosoxidans
Lineage: Bacteria; Pseudomonadati; Pseudomonadota; Betaproteobacteria; Burkholderiales; Alcaligenaceae
Also listed under: 1 other name
Description: tRNA-Val(gac)
Source: RNAcentral
CUCGAUGAUGGUCAGGCCCAGUUCGGCGGCGCGCUUGACCAGCGCGAUGCGGCGUUCCAGGCUGAGGGUGCGGCCGGUGGGAUUCUGGAAGUUGGGC